This 1319-nucleotide ribosomal RNA is filed under the name Vibrio parahaemolyticus. Its description in RNAcentral is "partial 23S ribosomal RNA". It matches the Rfam family "Bacterial large subunit ribosomal RNA", at positions 1 to 1368 of the family's 2925-position model. Lineage: Bacteria; Pseudomonadati; Pseudomonadota; Gammaproteobacteria; Vibrionales; Vibrionaceae. The record is from RNAcentral.
GUUGUAUGGUUAAGUGACUAAGCGUACACGGUGGAUGCCUUGGCAGUCAGAGGCGAUGAAAGACGUAGUAACUUGCGAUAAGCCCAGAUUAGGUAGUAACAACCAUUUGAGUCUGGGAUUUCUGAAUGGGGAAACCCACUUACAUAAGUAAGUAUCAUUAACUGAAUACAUAGGUUAAUGAGGCGAACCGGGGGAACUGAAACAUCUAAGUACCCCGAGGAAAAGAAAUCAACCGAGAUUCCGAAAGUAGCGGCGAGCGAAAUUGGACUAGCCCUUAAGCUUUACACGCGUUAGACGAACGGUCUGGAAAGUCCGACGAUACAGGGUGAUAGUCCCGUAGUUGACGACGUGUGUUCAGUGAAAUCGAGUAGGGCGGGACACGUGAUAUCCUGUCUGAAUAUGGGGGGACCAUCCUCCAAGGCUAAAUACUACUGACUGACCGAUAGUGAACCAGUACCGUGAGGGAAAGGCGAAAAGAACCCCUGUGAGGGGAGUGAAAUAGAACCUGAAACCGUGUACGUACAAGCAGUAGGAGCACCUUCGUGGUGUGACUGCGUACCUUUUGUAUAAUGGGUCAGCGACUUAUAUUCAGUGGCAAGGUUAACCAUCUAGGGGAGCCGUAGGGAAACCGAGUCUUAACUGGGCGUUCAGUCUCUGGAUAUAGACCCGAAACCAGGUGAUCUAGCCAUGGGCAGGUUGAAGGUUGAGUAACAUCAACUGGAGGACCGAACCGACUAAUGUUGAAAAAUUAGCGGAUGACUUGUGGCUAGGGGUGAAAGGCCAAUCAAACCUGGAGAUAGCUGGUUCUCCCCGAAAGCUAUUUAGGUAGCGCCUCGGACGAAUACUACUGGGGGUAGAGCACUGUUAAGGCUAGGGGGUCAUCCCGACUUACCAACCCUUUGCAAACUCCGAAUACCAGUAAGUACUAUCCGGGAGACACACGGCGGGUGCUAACGUCCGUCGUGGAGAGGGAAACAACCCAGACCGCCAGCUAAGGUCCCAAAUUACUACUAAGUGGGAAACGAUGUGGGAAGGCUCAGACAGCCAGGAUGUUGGCUUAGAAGCAGCCAUCAUUUAAAGAAAGCGUAAUAGCUCACUGGUCGAGUCGGCCUGCGCGGAAGAUGUAACGGGGCUAAGUAGUAAACCGAAGCUGCGGCAAUAUACUUUUGUAUAUUGGGUAGGGGAGCGUUCUGUAAGCGGUUGAAGGUGUGUGGUAACGCAUGCUGGACGUAUCAGAAGUGCGAAUGCUGACAUGAGUAACGAUAAAGGGGGUGAAAAACCUCCUCGCCGGAAGACCAAGGGUUCCUGUCCAACGUUAA